RNAcentral lists this ribosomal RNA (1372 nucleotides) under uncultured bacterium. RNAcentral's name for it is "bacterial SSU rRNA". It matches the Rfam family "Bacterial small subunit ribosomal RNA", at positions 28 to 1381 of the family's 1533-position model. The record is from RNAcentral.
GAUGAACGCUGGCGGCGUGCCUAAUACAUGCAAGUCGAGCGAACGGACGAGAAGCUUGCUUCUCUGAUGUUAGCGGCGGACGGGUGAGUAACACGUGGAUAACCUACCUAUAAGACUGGGAUAACUUCGGGAAACCGGAGCUAAUACCGGAUAAUAUUUUGAACCGCAUGGUUCAAAAGUGAAAGACGGUCUUGCUGUCACUUAUAGAUGGAUCCGCGCUGCAUUAGCUAGUUGGUAAGGUAACGGCUUACCAAGGCAACGAUGCAUAGCCGACCUGAGAGGGUGAUCGGCCACACUGGAACUGAGACACGGUCCAGACUCCUACGGGAGGCAGCAGUAGGGAAUCUUCCGCAAUGGGCGAAAGCCUGACGGAGCAACGCCGCGUGAGUGAUGAAGGUCUUCGGAUCGUAAAACUCUGUUAUUAGGGAAGAACAUAUGUGUAAGUAACUGUGCACAUCUUGACGGUACCUAAUCAGAAAGCCACGGCUAACUACGUGCCAGCAGCCGCGGUAAUACGUAGGUGGCAAGCGUUAUCCGGAAUUAUUGGGCGCUAAGCGCGCGUAGGCGGUUUUUUAAGUCUGAUGUGAAAGCCCACGGCUCCACCGUGGAGGGUCAUUGGAAACUGGAAAACUUGAGUGCAGAAGAGGAAAGUGGAAUUCCAUGUGUAGCGGUGAAAUGCGCAGAGAUAUGGAGGAACACCAGUGGCGAAGGCGACUUUCUGGUCUGUAACUGACGCUGAUGUGCGAAAGCGUGGGGAUCAAACAGGAUUAGAUACCCUGGUAGUCCACGCCGUAAACGAUGAGUGCUAAGUGUUAGGGGGUUUCCGCCCCUUAGUGCUGCAGCUAACGCAUUAAGCACUCCGCCUGGGGAGUACGACCGCAAGGUUGAAACUCAAAGGAAUUGACGGGGACCCGCACAAGCGGUGGAGCAUGUGGUUUAAUUCGAAGCAACGCGAAGAACCUUACCAAAUCUUGACAUCCUUUGACAACUCUAGAGAUAGAGCCUUCCCCUUCGGGGGGCAAAGUGACAGGUGGUGCAUGGUUGUCGUCAGCUCGUGUCGUGAGAUGUUGGGUUAAGUCCCGCAACGAGCGCAACCCUUAAGCUUAGUUGCCAUCAUUAAGUUGGGCACUCUAAGUUGACUGCCGGUGACAAACCGGAGGAAGGUGGGGAUGACGUCAAAUCAUCAUGCCCCUUAUGAUUUGGGCUACACACGUGCUACAAUGGACAAUACAAAGGGCAGCGAAACCGCGAGGUCAAGCAAAUCCCAUAAAGUUGUUCUCAGUUCGGAUUGUAGUCUGCAACUCGACUACAUGAAGCUGGAAUCGCUAGUAAUCGUAGAUCAGCAUGCUACGGUGAAUACGUUCCCGGGUCU